UCCCUGGUGGCUCAGACAGUAAAGCAUCUGCCUGCAAUGCGGGAGACCCAGGUUCGAUCCCCGGGUUGGGAA
RNAcentral lists this transfer RNA (72 nucleotides) under Ovis aries (sheep). It matches the Rfam family "tRNA". From Rfam's summary of the family: Transfer RNA (tRNA) molecules are approximately 80 nucleotides in length. Their secondary structure includes four short double-helical elements and three loops (D, anti-codon, and T loops). Further hydrogen bonds mediate the characteristic L-shaped molecular structure. tRNAs have two regions of fundamental functional importance: the anti-codon, which is responsible for specific mRNA codon recognition, and the 3' end, to which the tRNAs corresponding amino acid is attached (by aminoacyl-tRNA synthetases). tRNAs cope with the degeneracy of the genetic code in two manners: having more than one tRNA (with a specific anti-codon) for a particular amino acid; and 'wobble' base-pairing, i.e. permitting non-standard base-pairing at the 3rd anti-codon position. The record is from Rfam by way of RNAcentral. Lineage: Eukaryota; Metazoa; Chordata; Mammalia; Artiodactyla; Bovidae.